Molecule: long non-coding RNA, 606 nt
Organism: Triplophysa rosa
Lineage: Eukaryota; Metazoa; Chordata; Actinopteri; Cypriniformes; Nemacheilidae
Exons: 3
Source: RefSeq, a predicted model, not a curated record
AGUUCAUCCUACUCAGCCAAGUUCGACAAAUCAUCAGGUUCAAGGUAGUGAACAAGACAGUAUUAAAAUGAAACGGCUUCGAAACAAUAUACACAGUAUUGUGAAAAGUGCUAUACAAAUUAACUUGAAUUUAAUUGAAGAAUAUGAAAAUGUUCAAAAACAACAUUUCUAGCUGCUAACAGGUCAAACUGAACAGUCUGUACAAACACAAUUUGAAUGAAUAUGCAUUCUUUGUGGUGUUUACAGUUCCUUCUACCUCAACAUUCCAGCCACAGCAACAUCGCUCCAGUUCCACAACUCAGCAGGUUCAAGAAAUGUCCAAGUUAUUUGAAGGUUUGGAGAGGAGAAUAUGUCUGAAACUGGAACAAAUCCAUGCUGAUAUUAAAACAGCACUGGGAACAAUCCAGCAAUCAGUGAGCCGGCCCAGCGCGUCUGCCUCCGACCUAACUGAGAUUCGAUACCUUUGUCUUCAGAGUGGAGCCAGUUUGGGGGAUGGCAUAAGGAGAAUGCUCCGCAAAAUUGGACAUAAUGCCUUAUGGGCCAAUUACAGCUACAAAGGGAGAAAAGAGAAACGACCAUUUCAGCCUCUGCUGAUUAAUGAUGUAA